This 476-nucleotide ribosomal RNA is filed under the name uncultured bacterium. RNAcentral describes it as "bacterial SSU rRNA". It matches the Rfam family "Bacterial small subunit ribosomal RNA", at positions 335 to 800 of the family's 1533-position model. The record is from RNAcentral.
ACUCCUACGGGAGGCAGCAGUGGGGAAUAUUGCACAAUGGGCGCAAGCCUGAUGCAGCCAUGCCGCGUGUGUGAAGAAGGCCUUCGGGUUGUAAAGCACUUUCAGUCGUGAGGAGGUAGUGUAGUUAAUAGCUGCAUUAUUUGACGUUAGCGACAGAAGAAGCACCGGCUAACUCCGUGCCAGCAGCCGCGGUAAUACGGAGGGUGCGAGCGUUAAUCGGAAUUACUGGGCGUAAAGCGUGCGUAGGCGGUUAUAUAAGCUAGAUGUGAAAGCCCGGGGCUUAACCUCGGAACUGCAUUUAGAACUGUAUGACUAGAGUUUUGUAGAGGGUGGUGGAAUUUCCAGUGUAGCGGUGAAAUGCGUAGAGAUUGGAAGGAACAUCAGUGCGAAGGCGGACCACGCUGGAGCAAAAACUAGACGCUGAGGCACAAAAGCGUGGGUAGCAAACAGGAUUAGAUACCCUGGUAGGAUAGCGU